CAAGUCAUUACCCUCCGAGUUCAAGUUUGCCAACAAUCCAAACCCUCUGGUUGUGGAAAAACAUGGAGAUGUCAAAUGUAGACACACCAAUCCAAUUUGAUGAAAUGGUUUUGAGAAACAUAUCAGGAUCAUCAUUAAAGGGGUUUCUUGCACCAGAGUUGGGGCAACUCACCCACUUGCAAGAACUAAUUUUGCACGGAAACAAUCUCAUUGGAACAAUACCUAGAGAAUUGGGCGACUUGAAAUAUCUCAGGGUGCUUGAUCUAGGAAUGAAUCAGUUAACAGGACCAAUUCCUCCAGAGUUUGGAAAUCUAACUCAAGUUGUGAAAAUAAUCUUGCAGUCCAACGGGUUGACUGGUAGGCUACCUCCAGAGCUUGAAAACUUGAGAUUCCUUCAAGAACUUCAGCUGGAUAGGAAUAGACUUCAAGGGCCUAUUCCUGCUGGCGAUAGCUCAAA
This 457-nucleotide small RNA is filed under the name Vigna angularis var. angularis. RNAcentral describes it as "Non-protein coding transcript". The record is from RNAcentral. Lineage: Eukaryota; Viridiplantae; Streptophyta; Magnoliopsida; Fabales; Fabaceae.